AUGGAGAAGCUGGACGAGAGCAAGUUCGAGCAGCAGCUGCAGCUCUGGGCGCUCCGCAUCCCCCGCGAGCUCGCCUCCGCCGUCACCCGCCUGCUUCGCUCCGGGUCCCUACUGGACAUGCCGCGGGUCAAGCCUGUAGUUGAGGACCCUGGGAGUGACAAGAACAGACUCGUGGUGCUGUCGGAGAAGAUCCAGAACCCAGAUUUGUCCGACAUUCCGGAGCAGGUUCACAAUUCCUUGAAGCAACUGUGCAGCGUUGAUGUUGUACCUUACAUGUUGACUCUUGGUUAUUCUUACUUUAGUGCUGACCAUAUUCUGAAGCAAAUAUUGCCUGAAGGAGUAGAGGUGCCCUCUUCUUUUGAAACAAUUGGCCAUGUUGCUCACUUAAACAUACCUGAUGACUUGCUAGCAUACAAAGAUGUCAUAGCAAAGGUUAUCUAUGAUAAAAAUUAUCCAAGGAUUCAAACAGUGGUUAAUAAAGUUGGGGCAAUUUCAAAUGAAUUUAGAGUCCCAAAGUUUGAGAUUCUAGCAGGGAAAAAGGAUAUGGUGACUGAAGUUAAACAGUAUGGUGCUACAUUUAGACUUGACUAUGGUUUGGUCUACUGGAAUUCGAGACUUGAGCAUGAACACAUCAGAUUGGUUUCCCUUUUCAAGAAAGGAGAUGUUAUCUGUGACAUGUUUGCUGGUAUUGGCCCAUUUUCUAUCCCAGCCAGACAGAAAGGAUGUGUUGUAUAUGCAAAUGAUUUAAAUCCAGACAGUAUUCAUUAUCUGAAGACAAAUGCAAAGAUUAACAAGGUGGAGGAUUAUAUCUUCACAUAUAACAUGGAUGCUAGAGUAUUCAUGCAAAGUUUAAUGGCAGUACCUGACCCAGAAACUAAGUCCGAGUGUCAAUUUGCUGCUGCUAAUCGUUGUUCUGAAGAAAUCGUUUCUGGUAAUGAACACCCUACACCAAAUGGAAAUCAUAAUGAUGUACAAGAGACCUGGCAAGGGAGUUUGGAUGGCUCCUCCAUGGUAAGCACUAGUGCCAAAAGGCGUCAAGAAACCUCUAGCGAAGGUGAUGUUGCCGGCCAAGAAGAUGCCAGUCAAACAAAAAAGAGGAACAAUAAGAAAGUUAAAAGCUCAGGGCCACUACCUGUCAAGCCUUGGGAGCACAUUGACCAUGUAUUAAUGAAUCUCCCUGCUUCUGCACUGCAGUUUCUCGAUUGUUUUAGUGGUCUUAUUCAAAAGAGAUACUGGAAAGGGUCAUUACCUUGGAUCCACUGUUAUUGUUUCAUCCGUUCGAGUGAAACUGAAGAAUCGAUAUUAUGUGAAGCACAAAAUAAACUGAAUGCCAAGAUAGCAGAACCAAUAUUCCAUAGGGUUCGUGAUGUUGCACCUAACAAGGCUAUGUUUUGCUUAAGUUUUAGGUUACCCGUGGAAUGUCUCAAGGAGGAAACUGAAGAUCACAUUUGA
This 1452-nucleotide ribosomal RNA is filed under the name Triticum aestivum (bread wheat). RNAcentral's name for it is "partial small subunit ribosomal RNA". The record is from RNAcentral. Lineage: Eukaryota; Viridiplantae; Streptophyta; Magnoliopsida; Poales; Poaceae.